RNAcentral lists this long non-coding RNA (510 nucleotides) under Gopherus agassizii (Agassiz's desert tortoise). RNAcentral's name for it is "lncRNA (ENSGAGG00000021415.1)". Lineage: Eukaryota; Metazoa; Chordata; Testudines; Testudinidae. The record is from RNAcentral.
CUUUUGUGAAAUUAUUUUCUGGUUUCACUUGAUGUUAUACCUUUACUCAUUUGUACUGCUGUAGGGGGAGCUUGGAUUGCCUGGUCCACCUGGAGUUGAUGGAGAAAAGGGAUCUAAAGGAGACCCAGGAAAUCCUGGGAUAAUGGGACAAAAAGGAGAGAUUGGAGAAAUGGGCUUGUCUGGCCUACCGGGAAUCGAUGGGCCAAAAGGAGAGAGAGGAGAAACCGGAUCCCCAUGUUUGCAGAACAAUCAUAUAAUACCAGAACCAGGACCCCCUGGAUUGCCAGGCCCUAUGGGUCCUCAAGGAAUCCCAGGUCCUAAGGGCUUGGAUGGUGUAAAGGGAGAAAAAGGUGACCAUGGUGAGAAAGGGGCAGCUGGUGACACUGGGCCACCUGGUCCUGCUGGUCCCCCGGGACUUAUUGGCUUACCAGGCACCAAAGGGGAGAAGGUAAUAAUUCAGUAGGGAAAGAGAAGAUAAAAAUAUAUUGUAAUUAUAAUGAACUGGCUAGA